Camelus dromedarius (Arabian camel) is the source of this 651-nucleotide long non-coding RNA. RefSeq lists it as uncharacterized. Lineage: Eukaryota; Metazoa; Chordata; Mammalia; Artiodactyla; Camelidae. The transcript is spliced from 3 exons. The record is from RefSeq and is a predicted model, not a curated record.
GGAAGGAAAGACGCAGGGACACAUCACCCAUCUCGCGCCUGCCCCUGGCUCAGCGCCCGGUGCCAACAGAACACCUUUCAGGAUCCACAGCAACGCAGACAACGAGUCCAGGAUCCCGGCCUCAGCUUGGAACGGAACAGUGUCAUGGCGGAGACGACGGCCUUUGUCUUGCUGGGUGUGAAAGCAUCCGCUGUGCUGGCUCCAAUGCGGCAGAAUCAAGUUUAGAGGAAAAAAGUGAUUAAAGUCAGCUUUGUGCCUCUUUGGUGUGGAAGACCCCCAAACCCCAAGUAGCCAGAUCCCUGGGUCCGAGGAAGGGCUCAUGGUUGGAGCAGCCUAGGCUGUAAUCCUGGCACUUGCGCCUUCGGUUGCUGCUUGCUGUUCGCUCCUGGGGGUCUGGAUAAUCUCCCUUGGCUUUACCGCACUGUCUGGCCCGCAUACAGGGCCCCCGUAACAUAUACCCGCUGCUGCUAUCACACGAAACUGUGGCGUUGCCCCUGAAUGGAUGGCACUGUGCCAACUCUUCUGCCAUCCGCCCUUGCAGCUUUUUUCUUUCCUCCCUCCCUCCCCUUCUCCUCCUCCUCCUCCCGUCGACUUGACGUUAAUUAACACACGGGUUAAUUGAUUUUAAAAGCCGAAGAAUUACAGUUAACU